Molecule: transfer RNA, 76 nt
Filed under: Clostridiales bacterium
Lineage: Bacteria; Bacillati; Bacillota; Clostridia; Eubacteriales
Also listed under: 1 other name
Description: tRNA-Val
Rfam family: tRNA
About the family: Transfer RNA (tRNA) molecules are approximately 80 nucleotides in length. Their secondary structure includes four short double-helical elements and three loops (D, anti-codon, and T loops).
Source: RNAcentral
GGGAGCAUAGCUCAGUUGGGAGAGCACCUGCCUUACAAGCAGGGGGUCACAGGUUCGAGCCCUGUUGCUCCCACCA